This is a long non-coding RNA of Culex quinquefasciatus (southern house mosquito), 946 nucleotides long. RefSeq lists it as uncharacterized. The record is from RefSeq and is a predicted model, not a curated record. The transcript is spliced from 3 exons. Lineage: Eukaryota; Metazoa; Arthropoda; Insecta; Diptera; Culicidae.
UAAACAUCUGUCGGAUAGGUGCUUGCAAUUUAACUUACACGACAAUGUAAACAAUCUUUGCUUGGUUGCGGAUAGGACUUUUCAGAUUUUUAUAGUUUUUGAUGUUUUUGAAAUGAUUUUUUUGCCAAAGAAGUGCUAGAAUCUUGUUGAAGGCUGAUUAACUAGAGUUCAGAAUCUGCUGCACUGGUUUUGAGGACACAUCGGCAACGGCGAAAACAAAACUGAGUCGAUCUCGCUAGCCGGAACGAGAAGCGCAAGAACGACGACCCUCCAAGCUGGAGACUUCAGGUGUCGUGAAGGCGGUUUGCUGACGAAAGUAGCAGUGGUAAGAAGGACAAGCACCGGUAGAACGGCGAGCGAGACAACAAUAAAAACCGGGAUCGGAACUAGGAUCGCGAUCGGGAGAGGGAAAACGACCGUCACCGGCACAAGUACAGUUCUUGGUCGGGUUAACAGUCGAAUUCAUCGUCCUCGAAGCACCACCACGAGGAACGCCAACGAAAGCUUUCCCACUCGUCGUCGUCCUCGAAUCAGCAUCCACACAGCAGAGCAAGUAGCCGGCGAGAAUCGACCUCGAACGUUACGAAGGACAAGGAGGUCAGCGGCAAUGUCGUGAGCGUUCCAGCUCUGAUGGUUUCACCCUCGGUUUCACCCGCCGCGGCCGAAUUAAAAGUCCCGGAAGCGGCCGUAGAUGUGGUGGUCGGUGCAUCACGUCGUUGACAUCAACUGCUGAAAAACUGGCCCAAAGUUUUUCUCCAAACUCUGCUCUGCUCCACCGAGCGAUCGACGUAGACAAGGCAACAUGGCUUGUGAUUUGCGAUUCAUAAACAGUUUGUUAAGUCUUGCACAACUUUUUUGCCAAAUUUUACUUUAUUAAAUUGAAAAGAUGUAAAAUUGUUACCUCGGUACUUGAUAAAACAGAAAUGAUUUGGGAACAUAAAACCAA